Molecule: ribosomal RNA, 525 nt
Filed under: uncultured bacterium
Lineage: Bacteria
Description: bacterial SSU rRNA
Rfam family: Bacterial small subunit ribosomal RNA
Source: RNAcentral
UAGUCCACGCCGUAAACGAUGUCUACUAGCCGUUGGGGUACUUGAUACUUUAGUGGCGCAGCUAACGCGAUAAGUAGACCGCCUGGGGAGUACGGUCGCAAGAUUAAAACUCAAAUGAAUUGACGGGGGCCCGCACAAGCGGUGGAGCAUGUGGUUUAAUUCGAAGCAACGCGAAGAACCUUACCUACUCUUGACAUCCAGUGAACUUGGUAGAGAUACCUUGGUGCCUUCGGGAACACUGAGACAGGUGCUGCAUGGCUGUCGUCAGCUCGUGUUGUGAAAUGUUGGGUUAAGUCCCGUAACGAGCGCAACCCUUGUCCUUAGUUACCAUCAUUAAGUUGGGGACUCUAAGGAGACUGCCGGUGACAAACCGGAGGAAGGCGGGGACGACGUCAAGUCAUCAUGGCCCUUACGAGUAGGGCUACACACGUGCUACAAUGGCCGGUACAAAGGGUUGCCAAGCUGCAAAGUGGAGCUAAUCUCAUAAAGCCGGUCGUAGUCCGGAUUGGAGUCUGCAACUCGACU